GUCCACGCUGUAAACGAUGGAUACUAGGUGUGGGAGGUAUCGACCCCUUCCGUGCCGCAGUUAACACAAUAAGUAUCCCACCUGGGGAGUACGGCCGCAAGGUUGAAACUCAAAGGAAUUGACGGGGGCCCGGCACAAGCAGUGGAGUAUGUGGUUUAAUUCGAAGCAACGCGAAGAACCUUACCAGGGCUUGACAUGCAGUGGAAUAUGCAAGAGAUUGCAUAGCUCUUCGGAGCCGCUGUGCAGGUGGUGCAUGGUUGUCGU
RNAcentral lists this ribosomal RNA (264 nucleotides) under uncultured bacterium. RNAcentral describes it as "partial 16S ribosomal RNA". It matches the Rfam family "Bacterial small subunit ribosomal RNA", at positions 793 to 1055 of the family's 1533-position model. The record is from RNAcentral.